Molecule: long non-coding RNA, 332 nt
Filed under: Musa acuminata (dwarf banana)
Lineage: Eukaryota; Viridiplantae; Streptophyta; Magnoliopsida; Zingiberales; Musaceae
Description: long non-coding RNA (MACU_LNC006944)
Source: RNAcentral
GAUAUGUUUCGAAAUGGUCCAUAUGCCAUUGAUAUGUUCUGAAAUAUUUCAUUUGUCAUUGAUAUGCUCCGAAACAUUUCAUACGCCUUUGAUAUGCUCCGAAAUGUUUCAUUUGUUAUUGUUACGCUUCGAAAUGUUCCAUAUGUCAUUGAUAUGCUCCGGAACAUUUCAUACGCUAUUGAUAUGCUCCAAUUACUCUGUACUCCAUUUGCUAUGAACUGAUAUGUUUUGAAUGACAUGACACAUAUGAUUUUGUAUCUAAUGAGAUGGUAUCCUUGAGAAUUCUUGUAUUCUACCUUGCAUUAUGAUAUCUUACUUGUUUGAAAUCGUUC